Dunckerocampus dactyliophorus (ringed pipefish) is the source of this 369-nucleotide long non-coding RNA. RefSeq lists it as uncharacterized. NCBI's taxonomy places the organism in Eukaryota, Metazoa, Chordata, Actinopteri, Syngnathiformes, Syngnathidae. The transcript has 3 exons. The record is from RefSeq and is a predicted model, not a curated record.
CCGGCUAAAUGAAUCUUCGGUUCAAGGAGUUGGACGAGGAGGAGGAAGACAGCAGGAGCAAUACGUUUUAAUAAGGAUACAAAAACGCUACAGUCGAAUGGCGCCAGGACGAAGCACGGUCAGAGGAGGGAAUAAACGUGCAUUGAUCUGACACAGCCCAUCGGAGCUAACGCUACUUGCGUCAACAACAGCAGCAUAGAAACAGUGAGGACACUUACAAUGUCGGCUCUCAUUGGGAUGGCUGUGUCUUCCAGCACGAGACGUGUGCUCCACUCCUCAGCCAAGAAGAUAAGAAGUCCUGUUUUUGCUGCUUUGACUUGACAGCCAAACCUGCAGCAGCACACAAGAGAGUAUAUUUAUAUUGUUGAG